UACGGGGGGGGCAAGCGUUGUUCGGAAUUACUGGGCGUAAAGGGCUCGUAGGUGGCCAACUAAGUCAGACGUGAAAUCCCCAGGCUUAACCUGGGAACUGCGUCUGAUACUGGAUGGCUUGAAUUCGGGAGAGGGAUGCAGAAUUCCAGGUGUAGCGGUGAAAUGCGUAGAUAUCUGGAGGAAUACCGGUGGCGAAGGCGGCAUCCUGGACCGAGAUUGACACUGAGUGAGCGAAAGCCAGGGGAGCAAACGGG
RNAcentral lists this ribosomal RNA (254 nucleotides) under uncultured bacterium. Its description in RNAcentral is "partial 16S ribosomal RNA". It matches the Rfam family "Bacterial small subunit ribosomal RNA", at positions 524 to 776 of the family's 1533-position model. The record is from RNAcentral.